UUUAGUUGCUUAAGGCUUUCAAGUGUGGAACUUGUGAAUAUAUAUUCCAAACCUUCACAUCUAUCUAUUUUCAAUAUCGUUAGGUUGGGCAAUUCAAGCAGAGUCAUAUUUGCGGACCUUGGGAUGGUGAUUGCAGUACAAGUAUCAUCACUUCCAUCACCAACAUUAGUAGUACUAUCAACAUCAUUGUUGUUUAUCCCUUUACUUUCAAAUACAUAGGAUGGAAACACUCUUGACAAGGCAUGACAAUCAGGCAUACUAAUCACUUUGGAGUAUUAGCAUAAGAACCAAGAAGCAACAACUUGAGAACACCACAACAACACAUGAAAAAUCAAUGGAUCUGUUUAAAUUAACAAAGCUUAGUUGUUUGCUACACACAUACACACAACAUGUGUUUCUAAAAAUAUGGUUACAAACACGAGUGCUUCCCACAACUAAGGUAAUUAUGAACAACUACAAAAAGGUAAACUAAAUCAAUCAUAAAAUUGGCCUUAUAGUGGGUUACAGGAGAUUAUAAACAACUUCAAAAAGGAAAUAGAAACAAGAAAAAAACAAAACUGUCACAUUGCUAAUUAACACAACUAAUUAGCAUUUAUUCAAAUUAAAACUUGAAAAUGAAGCGACUUUGAUUAGCAAUUAAUCAGCAUAUAUAUUUCACACGUAUCUGCAGGAACACAUGCAGAAUCAAAGUAUAAACACAUGCAAGUAUGAUAUAAACCAUAAAAUAUACAAAUAUUGUAACUAUGAAUUUUACUUGUGUGUACUGAAGAAGGGCUAAAUGCAAAACAUAGCAACACAUUUCCAUUUAUUCGUUUGUUAAAGCAUCGUACUUUCGUUUCUUUCUAUUUAAGCAACAGAAAUCGUUUCUAUUUUAAUAACUUUUUUUUGUUUUUUUUUAAACUCGAGUUGGAGAAAAAAGUUUAUUUGAUGGUACGAGUUUAAGUUUCUACUCCAAAAGCUAUUUCAAGUAGAUUUUAGCAUCUUUCAGUUUUUUGAAAUUCUACACCGUUAAGUGUUAACUACUUUUAUGGAAUAAUUACACACAAGUAAUCACCAUAGAGAUCUCAAACCAAGUACAAAGGGCUUUUUUGAGACCAUAUAUACCGGAAUUUUAGAAGCCAACAAACUUCACCCGGUUGGUGGGCAACACUUAGGGGAGAAGUCAUGUAAACCUCCUCAUGAAGAUCGUUGUUCAAGAACACAUUCUUACCAUCCAUUCAGAAUAUCUUCACUAACUAACGAAUGGAUGCAACUGUGUUAUUAGAGUACGACAUUCAUCACUUUUGUCGUCAAUUUUUGUGUGGGUGAAACUAACCCUUCUUAUGAGUCUAGUGAAGAGUCAUAAGUUCCUCAACUAUAGCAUUCUACCAAAGGAGAUCAUAAACAGCCUCUCUGUACGACUUGGUUUCUCACAUAUUAUGUAUAUUGGCAAUAAAUGAAGCAAACAAAGUCAAAAUAAGAUGGAUAAGAAAAUUGCAUGAGUUUGAUGGACUUACAAGUACCGUUGGACUUAAAAUGUGGUGGAAGUUUCAUAGUCACAGUUAGAGAGGAGCAUUUAGACCAAAAACCAAAUCGAAUCGAAUCGAACUGAAUUAGGCCUGAAUAAGCAAUUCGGUUCGGGUUUCGGGUAUCUAUAUUAGGCUUAGUCGGUUCUCGAAUUUUUCGGUUUGGGUUACCCAAAUAAGUGCUUAUUCGAUUCAAAAUAUCCGGCCCAGAAUUUCAGCAUGGUUGCAGAAAUUUAGGCAACUUUGAACUGUAAUGACGUCUUCGUUAUUUACCCCAUUUGCCUAUUUUUUUCCAUCUUGUAGCUCACGGUUUAAACUACUAUUUACAUAGUUUAUAUGCUAUUUUUGGUUAUAUAUUCAAUGAGAUACAUGCCCCUAAAUAUGGGGUAUUGAAGCUAAAUUUUCUGUUUCAGCAUGUUUGUAGAAAUGUAGGCAACUUUGAACUAUUAUAGGGUCUUCAUUAUUUGUCCGAUUUGCUUGAUUUUGGGGGUUGGAUUUUACAUUCUUAUAUCUCAAGAAUAGUUAACCCGUGUUUACAAUAAAUUUAGAGAAAAAGUGAAAUCAUUUUUGGUGUAUAUCGAAUCUUUUGUUCGUUAAUUUGGGAACAAAAACAUACAAAAUAUAAAUUCGUGUUUACAUUUAAGUCUACAGUUAUAUAUUUGUCCAUGCUGCGCAUGCUUAUUACACAAAUUCUGACAUUUUUUUGCAUCUUUGAAACAAUUAUAUAUACUUUCAUUAUUUUUAAUCAAACAAGAUUGUUUCUUUAAUAGUUUUGUUAUGGAAUCAUAAGCUACAAAAGUAUUAAAAAAUACAGUUUUUAUAAUCAUAUUGUAAAUGUUAUUCGGGUUAUGGAAUCAUAAUACGGUUUAUUUGCUUUUUUUCAGUUAUAUUAAGUCAUUAAUCAUAUCGUGAAUGUUAUUCGGGUUAUUCAAGUAAUAACUGACCCGAACCGAUUAAUACCCGAAUCGAACCGAACUCGUAUUAGGUUAUUCGAUUCGAGUUUCGGUUCCUCCGAUUAGCCUUAUUCAGUUUUUAGAUUAUUCAGGCUCAGGUAAAGUCGGUCCGGUUCCGACCCGAAUAACAUCCUAGUCACGGUAGGUAAACAAUAAGAGGAACUGGAGCAAUGUAUGAUGUUGUAAGCAUAUUAUAAAUUGGGUCAUCAGAUGCAAUGUUAUCUCUUUAAUUCAAAUGUACUAGAGUUGAUUAUCUAAUACAUCCAAUGGAUGAAAACAACAUUAAAAUCAAUAGCUAGUUAUAAAGAACGUUACAACAACAUUAUGCAUAUUUUAUUGGUCCUACACCUAAAGUACAUCACCACGUUAACAAUAAGCAUAGAUCCUAAAUAUCCCAAAUAGGUAAAAAAAAACAGUAUAUCAAAAAUUAAGAAUUUACAUGUAAUGUUAGGCCUCAUUAUUUAGUAGCGGAUACUUGGACUUUCUUUGGUAAUCUCAUCUGCAUGAUCAACAAACAUAAUUUACCUUUAACUAAGAUAUAAAAUAAGUUUAACUAGUCUACAAAUAAUAGAUUAUUAGAGAAUUUUGACCUUAGAUUUUGUGGUUCGCCAUCCUAUUGCGUUGGCUUCUGGAUGGCUUCUGGAGAUGUAUAGGCAAAUUUUUUCAAACGGAUUUUAUGAGUCGCCUUUACUCAAACUUGUAACACUAGAAGGUGAGACUUCCUACAAUUAAAAUCCCGAUUGUUACACAUGACAGUAUAUGACAAAACAAGUUGUAUUGCAUCUGGAAUGUAUUGGAUCGGGACAGUGUGACUGAUUUCAAUAAGACAAAAGUUGCAAUUUUUAAGGGAGUCGUUUUUUAUUUGACAUAUAUGCAAAAUUACCUUAUUUUUGUGGAUGCAUCGAUAUGUUGGAUUUCUAGUCUGUCAGAAUAAAAGAGUACCUGCAUAUAGAAAAUUUAAAUAAGUGGGUUGUAUCAUAGUUACCAGAAACGCGGUACGAUACGGGGAACGAGGUACGGUACGGGUUUCAAAACAUUGACCGUAUCGGGUACCGGGGGGNGGGGGGGGGGUAGGCUCAUUUCUGUACAAUCCGGUACAGUUUAUUGUAUAGUCCGGUAGAGUGUGCCUAGUUCUAAGACAUUUCAUAAAAUAUAUGUAAUUAUGUAUUCUAUUACUUAAACUUAAUAACAAAAGUACUAAUUAUCAAAACAGGAACAAAAUAAAUACCACAAUUACUUCAUCAUAAUACUUAAUAACAAAAAUAUUAAAAUACUAUAAAGGCAUAAACUAGUUUAUCCGUUGCCUUUUUCCACUUUCAUUCUCCACGCCUUCAUCAUCAAGGUUCUCCCACACCAUUUCUUCUAGACAAGCACUUGAACAUUCAAUGUGAUCACUUUCCGGAUUGAUGUCCCAUUUUUUGUUGGGUCCGACUUUGUAAGAUUCUGAAAACCGAGACAAAAGUCUAAUAUUAGAGUGAAUAUACACAAGUUUAUCCGCUCUUGGGCCAUUUAAACGAUUCCUUUUGAUGCUAUGUAUAUGAGAGUAUGUACUCCAAUUCCUCUCAGCUGAAGAGCUACUAAUCGGUUGCGAGAGGAUUUCUUUUCAUGCCUCCUGGUGCCAACUUUGCAAGAUAAUGCUUGUCAUAAUAUUUAUGAUUUAAAUCAAAUCCUAAACAAUGGAGAGGGAUAGUCAUCUGGUCCCACCUUUCGACCAUAAUUUCAUCAACUUUAGUGUAAUAGAUUGAGAGUUUAUUGUCCCUCAUAGUAAUAGCCUCUUUGAUUUAACCCAUAAUAUUGUCCAUUCAUUCAUAUAUUUCUGCCAUUUUCAGACAUUCACCAUCACAAAACUUUACCAUGUAAAAGAUAGGUUUUGUGACAGCCAAAUUGUGAGCAAUAUCAUCCCAAAAAUCUUCAUCUUUAAUUGUAUCUGCAACCUUAUUAACAAGUACUUGAGUGUGCGGAUCCACCGUGUUGACCAUUCUCGCCACGAGUUUAAGCCAAUAGUAGUAGCAAGUGCUUCCCUACACUCGGUUAGUCUUUUCAACAAUAUGUAAUGUGAUGCAAAUCGUGUUUGUGCAACCUUCAACAAUUGCAAUUUCGAGUUGUCUCUAAAGAAAGCUAAGGCGUGUGUGUGGUUUAAAAAAACGUAACAAUACCCUUCCCUCUGUUAUAUGUAUCGGUCAGCCAGUCAAAUUGCUUCGCCAUGUCUAUAAAAAUCAAAUUUAAAGAAUGUACACAACAAGGGGACCAGAAAAUAUGUUUAUAUACCUUCUGUAUUUCUCGUCCAGCCGCCUUGCAAUUCGCCGCGUUAUUGGUUACAACUUGAGUAACACUACUUGGACCAAUCUCCUCAAUAGCUUGUCGAAGAAACUUAGCAAUCUCCACCCCCAUCUUCUCAAUCCCCGAAAAGGCCUCCGCAUACAUAAAAGUUGCACCACGUGAAUUUUGUGCAAUAACAUUUAUAAGCGGUUCAUUUUUUACAUUAGACCAACCAUCUGAGAUAACGAAUACUCCUUGCGUUAACCACGUGUCUUUGACCGGAUCAAGUUCUUUGCCCACAUCUCUCACAAAUUGAUCAAGCAAUGAAGUUCUAGCUUUUUCAUAUGAAGGUGGCUUGUAACCUUCCGAUGCUUUCUUAAUAGCUUGAAUCAUUUCAAUGAAUUGCGGGUUCCGUAACACAUUAAAGAGAAUCCCAUUAGCACACAAGCCUCGAAGUAUCUUCAUGUCAACCUCCUCUCUCUCGAGCAUCUUAAAUGCAUCUUCAAUCCUUCUUUUUGGAGUUGAGUUUUUUGAGAGCAACGAAUUCUUCAAUAAUUUGGCAGCAACACCAUUCUUUUCCGCUUCUUUCACCCUAUUAUAUAGAACGUCAUAAUACGGGUUACUUUUAACAAGAACCGGACACCUUUUGAUCUCAGUUGUUUUCCCUGCAGGAGGUCAGAAAGUGAACAUGGAUUCUAGUAUAAGAGCUGGUAUAUUUUCCUUUACAGUGGUUACAGGUCCAACGUUUAGAACCUCCACUAUUCUUGUUGUUUCCUAGAACUUCUUUAUAUGUAACUUCUUCAUGGAGUGGUUUUCUUGGAUCUUUCUCAACACUGUUUUUUGGGGCUGUUUGUUGAACCUCAUCAUCAACAUGGAUUGUUGUUUGAUCUUGGGUCUCACUAAUAUGAGUGCUUUCUGUUUCACUGUCAGAAUGAGUUGGCUGAGACUCUGAAAAAUUUUUUCUUCCAAAUUCCAUUCUUCACAAUGGGAUGCACAAUUUAUAGUGGAAAGUGGAAACUAGAAAAUUAGAUAUAACUAAAAUCGAAAUUGAAGACAGAAAGCUGAAAUGGAAAUUGAGUUUGAAUGUCCGAUACAAGAUUACAAGGUCUAUAUAUACUAAUCUCAAAGAUUUGCAAUUAACACUUUUACAAUGUGAAAUUAAAAUUGAGAAGGCUAGGCAUCAAUGAUCGAUCCAUAGUAUCUAGCUGAGUCAACGAUCGGAGAAGUCGAAUAGCCUCUGUGAAACGUGGCUAAACUCCCGCCCAAAUCGCCAUUCAGUCGAUGCAUAAAACCCGAUCGGCAACAACAAAUCGACUUCACGUACGCUCUAUUUUGACUUCAGGGACGUUCGAUUUUGACUCCGGGUACGAUCGAUUUAGACUCCAAGAACGUUAAUUGGUUCGAUUGGGAUCGCUAUUAGGUUCGAUUUGGGUCGCGAUUGGCGUCGACUGUAUCAUUUUCUAGGUACGUUCACAUAUCACGUAUUGGACCGGUUUCCAAUCGUUUGGGUACAGGGUGUUUCGGUACGUGGUACGCCACUACUUCGACGUUUCUGGUGACUAUGGGUUGUAUAUCUCCAUAGGAUCAAACAAGUAAAAUUAAAAUAAAACAUAGCCAAAUUUCAAAACAUGUCAAGUGACUUAAAAGUCAGCCAAAGUGUAAUCAAAUGCAUCCAAGGGUUCGAAUUGGUUGAGUCAAGAAAUUAGAUUAUUAGGGUAAAUACAAGAGAUAGCAACAUACUUUCAUUUUACUUGUGUAUGAUUUCUUCGUAUUAUAGCAUUUUAGUUUCAGGUUUUUUUUCUUAUUAAAGCAGUGCACUUUGAAAAAUCUACCCAAUUAUAGCAGCGAAAAUUGCUUUGUAUAUAGAUGACAUUGCUAUAAUUGGGUUGGUUAUUCAAAGUACAAUACUGUAAUAGAAAAAAAUAAAGGUAUGAUGCUACAAUAUGAAAAUCAAAGAACCAACAUUACUAUUUCUUGCAAAUAACCAUAGAUUUUUAUUGUAAUAAAGAGAUUUUGUAAUCAUAUUCAAGACAUGGAUCAAUUAUAAAGUUAGGAAAAUGAACAAAAAAAACAUUUCCAGUAAACCUAAGGCAUGACACAACUCCCAACUCCCAAAAAAUAAAUCAGAAAAAAGACCGAUAUACCCUCAAUAACUAUACACCAGAUAUGCGACAAGAUAUUAUAAAAGUAUGAAUUGAUAUCAUACCUUGUUUAAAAGCUGCACAUUGGAUGAAUCAGUUGCCACAACAUGUAACCCAAGACAAUUGUGUUGAUCACUACAAAAAGGGCAGAAAGCCGUAUUAAAUACACAUCCAUCUUCUUUACUCCAUAUUCCUUCAUCACCACUUCUUUUCCAAAUUCUCCCAUCAACACAUGAAAGAUCAGACACCACAAUAGCCACACUUGCCCCACCCUUUUCUCUCCCUUUCCAACUUGACACCAAAUGCACUUUAGAUAAUGACAUUGAUGAACAAGGGACAAAAUAGUCAUUUUCCGCAAGACCCAAUGGAGUUUUACAGAGUGAACACGAUAUUUUUAGAUCUUUCUUGGUUUCAUCACCAAGAUUCAUGGUUUCUUUCACUGGAAAUGUGGGUUUGGGUUUGGGGGAAUCAAAUUGGGACAUUUUGACUGAUGCAAAAGCUGAAGACUUUCUUCUUUUGUGAAAAUGGGAAUUGACACUUGAAUCUAGAGGUGAAUUGGUUUGAGGGAUUUGUUGUUUUUUAGGUGUUGGUGUUGUUGUGUUCAUGCAUUCAGAAGCUGAAGUGGAACAAGGGGAAGAAAAGGAACAAGUGGGAAACUUUGAUUGGAUUAUGGUUGACUCAGAGACAGAUUCAAGAGUAGCAGGGUAACUGUUCUUGAUUGGUGUUUCCUUCAGAAUAGGUGGCUCAUGGUCAAGGGCAUUAUCGUCAUUUCUCGGGGUUUCAUGAACAAUGGUUAAGUCGAAAUCGUCAUCAUGAGAUAUAUUCAUUGAUGGUGGCGAUGGAAACCUGCACCCAUCAUAAGACAUACAUCUGUUACCAACUUCUAUUCUCUUUUAGAGUAAUUACAAGAAUGGUCCCUGUGUUAUUCCCAACAUUUCAGAUUCAGUCCAACUUCUAUGAUAAAAUGACUUUUCUACCCUCACAUGUUUCUUUUUAAAGAACAUUGCAUUUUUGGUCCCCAAGUAUAGCUGAUGUUUUUAAUUUUGGUCCCAAAAGGUUGUCAUGCUAAUUUGGUCCUUAUUUAAGAUUUUUGUAACGUUUUUUGUCCCUGUUCCUAGUAAAAUGGCUAUUUUUGGGAUCGAAAUUUCAAAAAUCACACCCAUAGACCAAAAUGGUCACUUAAUUUGGAACCGGGACCAAAAACAUUACACGAAUGUCAAAUAAGGACCAAAAAUGCAAAAGAAAACCUUUUAGUACCAAAAUUGCAAAAAGCAACCAUACUCAAGGAGCAAAAAUGUAAUUUGACUCUUCUUUUUAACUUUUCUAUAAUUUGUUUAUUUUAAACUAUUGUUAGAUGUCAUUUUACAUGGAUCAGUGACAGAUCAGAAACAAAAACCAAUGUUAGGGACCAAUUUGAAACAAAAAAAAAAAACAUUGGACUGAAUAUGCAACAGUGGGUAUAACACAAGGACCAUUCUUGUAACUAACUCUUUUUAUUUCAAUGAUUGAAAGAACAAGACGCGUAGAUAAAAUAACAAGUUUAAAAUACCUGUUUUGUGUCUCCAAAUCACCUUUGGAGUCAGUGUAAGUUAUACCAGUAUUGAUGUCACUCUUUUUCACUCCCCUAAUUGUUUCCUGAGGUCUAGAUUCUGCUUUGAGGGAGGGGCAAUGUAACUUUUUAGAUGUAAUCGGAAACUUUUUUAAUAUUAAUGUGUAACCUCACUAUGAGAAACCUUCAUCAACAAAAAUUAUGAACCCUAAUGAAAAACCAAAAAAAAAAAAAAAAAAUAGAAAAUAAAGAGUGAUACAAAAUGCCUUCAUCAUUUCAACAUCUAUCAUUUCCAUAUUCUCUUUUUCAUAGUCCAUACAGGUCCCAUUGGUUUUCUUGAUUGGUAUUUCCUUCAUACUGGGUGGCUCAUAGUCAAGGGCAUUAUCGUCAUUUCUCAGGCUUUCAUGAACAAUGGUUUAUUUGAAAUCGUCAUGAGAUAUAUUCAUUGAAGGCGACGAUAAAAACCUGCACAGAACAUAAGAAGAUAUAUAUAACCGAAUUUCAUUCUUUUUAUCUCAGAAGUUGAAAACAAAACAGAGCUUUAUGAUCUUUGCUAAUAAAGCAUUUGUAGUUGAGACUCACUUCUUCAAGAAUGAAGUGCUUUUAUACAAAUCAAACAUUAAUACUAGGGGUGUUGAACGGGUAAUUUUUUCGGGUUUCGGGUAAUUCGGGUCGGGUAAUUCGGGUUUUUCAUGUUAGAAAAAUUACCCGUUACCCUACCCAAACUAAAUUCGGGUAAUUCGGGUAUCGGGUCGGGUUUGGGUAAUUCGGGUAUUACCCGAAAUAUAUGAUUUUUUUUUUGAAUUUCACCUAAAAAUAAAUUUAAUGGAAUAAAUACGUCGUGCUUUAUUAGUCUUGUUUAUAUAAACAAACGAGACAUAAACGAAGUUACUCAAGCUUUGAACAUUGAGAUUUUCUACUCAAUAAUACAUGAGAUAUCAAGUAUUUUUGUAACGACUUAAUCUAAUCUAAUAAGAUGUUAAAAAAACAAAUACCUAAAGAUCUUAAUUUAAAAGUUUAAAAUGUUUAAGAUAAACGUAGUCAUAAGUUUUGCCAUGUUUUAAAGUUUCGUCAAGAUAAUGAGUUUGUUAAUUGUAAUAAAAACUAUAAUAUAGAAAACAGUUAAGUUUUAAAGAACGUGAUGAUAUAUAAAAAUUACUUUUAAUAUUGUUAGUGUCGUAUUGUCAUAAUAAAUAUAUUUAUGUUUUAUAAUAAUGAUAUUAGUUUAAGCGUGAUCAAAUACUUGCUAUAUAGUACAAGCUCUAUAAGAAAAAUGAAAUUUUAAAAUAAUUUGGGUAAUUCGGGUAAUUCGGGUAUACCCGAAAUCCAAAAAAUGUACCCUUUACCCGACCCGAAAAAAAUCGGGUAACCCGAUUACCCGGAAAAUUUACCCGAUACCCGAUUUACCCGACCCGAUUUACCCGUUACCCGAAAAAAUCGGGCGGGUAAUUCGGGUAUCGGGUAUUUUCGACAGGGCUAAUUAAUACACUCAACUUACACUAUUUGUAAUGUAGAGGUUGAGCAACAAGAUCAUUUGAAAUGUGAGGUUGCUGCCAGGACUUGGUUUGAGAUUUUUAAAUGGUUGGAGAUUUCACAAAUUCCUUUUGAUUCCGUUCCUGAUUUGUUUAUGUUGGUGGAUCAGUUGCCUAUCGCUUCGAAAAAGAAAGUUGUCUUGGAUACUGUGGUCUGAAUUUCUAUUUGGUAUAUCUGGAGGUUCAGAAAUAAAAAAGUGUUUGUUUGAGGAAAGAUAAGGCGGAGUGAGAUUGUGGACUCUAUUAUCCAAUUUUCUUAUCUUUGGUAUAAUAACAGGAACAGCAAAUGUAUCAUAGAUAGGAUAAAUUGCCAGUGAGGCUAUUUCAGAAAAAAAUGAAAAAUACACUCAACUUACAAGAGGUGCCAUUGAAGAAUUUUAUCAAACACUUGGUGUUCAUAAAAAUAAAGAACACAGAUCUGUUGAAUUAAGGGCAGUUUUAGGUUAUUCAUUCUUUUUCUUUUCUUUCUUGUCCAGUAUGUGCUAAGAGAGUUUCAUCUAUGUAUUACCAUUCUAUGCACCUUCAACCCCUGAAUUUAUGCAUUAUUUAAAAUAAUUGAAUAUGUACAAACCAACCAAAAAAAAACUUGUGUAAUUAUUGCUAAGUUAGUCACAUCUUAAUCAAAUAGAAGAAAUGGACACAUCAUACAUGAGAUUACAUGAAACUAGAAAUUCAAUAAUUCGAAUUGAAAUUUUAAGCAAGCAACUCUGAUUACAAGUCAAUUCAAUGAUCAGAUAAUUAAGGUAGAGAAACAUGUACAUGAUUAGGAAGAAGGAAACAAGUGUAGGAUGUAAUCAUACCUAUGCUAUUUAGCUGACUUCAAAAUGAGCCAAACUGGACGUGUGAAUUCAAAUGUUCCUCUAGAACUGCCAUCCCUGUAGGAGAUUACAAAAAAGUGGUAAAUUAGAGAGUAAUGUAAAGUUUUUGUUGGAAAAAACAUUAGUCUGUUAAUAAUAACCAAAGGUGACACCACAUACCUCUUGUUGAUAGGUCUUUAUAAAAGAGUUGGGUUCUUCUGUUACAUGACAAAAUCCAAAAGUUGUAUCUAUUAACUUUAGCUCCGGAGUAGUUGAUUGCCCAUUUGUGAAUACUGUUAUUUUUGGACAAUAUUUGAUUUCCAAAGUAUCUAAUGAUGGCCAUUCAAAAGCCUCCUUCCCCAGGCAAAAUCCCUUGAGAUUUGGAAGCUUUUCAAGUGUUAUGGAUUUCAGACAAGGGAACACAACCUCAGUAGUAGUCAGUCUGGUUUCGGAAUCUUCAACUUGCUUCACAAUCACAUCCAUACUCUCGCAGUCACUUAUUUUUAGCUCUUGGAGCUGGAAUAGACUACCAACCAUGCAACUACUGAAAACGUGUCCAAGAAGCUUACAACUUACAAUUGAGACCUUUGUAAGGUUUGGAAAGUUCAACACUAUCCACCGAUUGCUCUUCCACACAUGCUUCAGAGUAUUUAUUCCACCCAAAGUCACCUCUUUCAGCUUCUCAAAUACCACAACAGAUUGCAUUCCAAUAUCCACAUCUUCAUUUGUCCCUUCUGCUACUUCAAAUACUUCCUCUAUUUUAGAUUCACCAUACUUCCUGGUAAUAGAAAGCUUUUCAAGAUUCUUCAAAUUAAGCAACUCCUUGCAUGGAAAAAUUAUGCGGCUUUCCAACAAUUUGUCAAUCCAUUGUGCAUCUACUUCAACUAAAUUUGAAAGAGACCACGGGAACUGAAGUAGCUUUAUCAAAUCUGGAGUAGAGCACAUAGGGAGUUGAGUCUGCUAAGAAAAAUCAAACAUAGAUAGAUCAUCACAAACACGACAAUUACUAAAGAAAAAUACAUUUAAUAUUACAAACAUAAUAAGGAUUGCAAGUUAUGUUAUUCUUCAAUGAGCCAACAUGUAUUUUCAAUCAACAACCUAGUUUAUGACACUGCUUACAUUAUAUUUUGUGAAGAUGAGCAUCAUGAAGAAAAUUUCUGCAUUAUAUAUUGCAUUUGCUCAAACAAUUUAGAUUGUUAUCGAUGAUUGUUGAGUCUUUUUAAAUAAAAGUAAAAAUUAUAGUUUGUGGGUGAGUGGGUAGGGAGGAUAAAAUAAAAAGUAAAAGUUAAGUGUUUUGGCUACUUCAAAAAGGGUAAUUUUUCAUGUACUGAAUAUUUACAUCCAAUUUUUUUAGGAAAAAAGAUAAUUAUGUUAUUGUAUUUUUUAUUGCAUUGUCAAAUACAACAAAUGAUAUAUGGAUGAUAUGCUUACACUUUUACAAUCAUCUCAGCUAUACUAUUUUCGUCAAUUUUAGGUAAUAAACGCUAAAAAAAAAUGUUUACCUUGUAAAAGAUGAGAGAGAAAAGAAGAACUUGAUUAAGUAACAACUAGCAUCACAAUAUUUAUAAAAUAUGUUAGAUAAUUGAAUUAAAUUGGAUGAAAACGAUAUAAAUGAUUUAAUUACAAUAUAUACUUCCAUACAAAAAUCUAUUUGUUAACAGAUAUGAGUGAAAAUAUGUAUAAUAAGGCAAUGCUUUAAUUUCCAUCUAUUUUGUGUUUUCUUUUCUUAACCGAAUGAAGAUGUUAGUUCUAAGUUCCUAAUUAAUGAUAUAUGACAAGUACCAAACGAUCACAUUCUAUGAAAUUUACAAAUGAUUUGAAUAAGAAUGAACUUGCCAAGUAUCAUUUGUAAUACACAAGAAAAUAAUUUUUUAUUUUCAUAUAUUUGAUAUAAAUUCUUAAGUCUUGUAUUUUUAAGGAACGUAACUAUUAUGUGAAUUUUAGAAGCACUUUUUCUUAGGUGCUUAUUUUGUUAUUCCUUUAAUUGAAUACUUGCCCAAACUCAGAGCCACUAGUUAGAUUGUUUGUUUUUCUACAAAGCGAUCAAUUUUUUGUCAAAUUAAAAUACGUUUUAGCGAAAACUGCAAAUUUGGUCCCUGUAUUUGUUGAUUUUUGUGGUUACAAUGGGGACAGUGUAAUAAAGAAGGGGUUGUUGAUCUGAUUCUGAUCAAACGGAAACUAGUAUUGUAUAUGUUCAGAAAUCUUUGGACAUGGAAAAAACCACCCUCAAUGAAUGCGUCAAUUGGGCUUUUUGUCUUUACUUCAUCUAACUUGAUUAAAAUAAUAAAUUGCUAACUUAUGAAUUAGUGAAUAUAACAUCUUUUAUAACAUAAGAGACAACUUAAUAUCUUAGGAAUGAAAUAUUAACUUAUAAUAAAAAAAUAAAAUUGCAUAUUUUCGUAACUUUUUAUAGAUACAAAAAAUGGGAAGUGGUUAUAUAUGUAUCUUCAUUUGGUUUUGUUUGUGUUUCCUUCCGGAAUACACAUAUGAACCGACUAAAUUAGUAAGCAAAUAAUAUGUUGAACAUCAUAAAACGACAUCCUGAUCACCUGGUUAAAUGAUGAAGUAAGGUAACAACAUACCUCAUGUGUAGCAUUGGUCAAAUGGAAGUUGAGGCCAUAUUGAUCAAGACUAUGCUUGCCUAAUUCUGUAUGUAUGUAAUUGAGCUUCGGAGUCAUGGAGUGACCAGAUGUGAAAUUCAUCAUUUGUGGGCAGCCAUAAAUCUUAACCUUUUCCAAUGCUUUCCACUUGAACUCAUUCUUCCCCAAGAAGAAACCCUUGAGAUCUGGUAAAUCUGCAAGUGUAAGGGACUUGAGACGAGGGAAGAAACCCUUGAGUUCUGGUAAAUCUCCGUCUUCCUUCACAAUCACUUUCACUGCCUUGCAUUGUUUUACAGUCAGUUUUUUGAGUUGCUUGAGGCUUUCAAGUGUGGAACUUGUGAUUAUAUAUUCCAAUACUUCACAUCUUUCUAUUUCCAAUAUCGUUAGGUUGGGCAAUUGAAGCAGAGUCAUAUUGGCCGACCUUGGGAUGGUGAUUGCAGUACAAGUAUCAUCACUUCCAUCACCAACAUUCGUAGUACUAUCAACACCAUCUUUUUUUAUUUCUUUACUUUCAAAUAUCUCCACCAUUGACUUACAUUCUUCUAUUCUCAACUCUUCAAGC
This 13898-nucleotide long non-coding RNA is filed under the name Lactuca sativa (garden lettuce). Its description in RNAcentral is "long non-coding RNA (LSAT_LNC001007)". Lineage: Eukaryota; Viridiplantae; Streptophyta; Magnoliopsida; Asterales; Asteraceae. The record is from RNAcentral.